UAGGGCUGAUAUAUGGCCUGUGGUGGUGCGGACCGUAAACGCGGCCGAGUCUGCUGCAGCCUUCCUGCCGGUCGGCUGAAGGGCGCUUCUCACUCAUCGGUCAGGCUGCCAGGAGCGAACACAGCUCGGACCGGAGCUCGGUGGAGGCACCGGGGGAGGCUGGAAGCACGGAUUUGUGUCCGCUUGUACUCGCUCAGCAAUGUUUGAGGGAUAAAAUCACGCUUUUAAUGAGGAGACUGGAGAGUCAGCAUCACUCUGGACUGCUCAGACAUUUGACUUCCAUCUGACCUUUGUCAAAGUCACCGGGAUCACUAAAGAACUACAGACUCUUCACAACCUGCUCAAACUCUUGGUACAGGACCUCACCACACAGGUUGCUUUGUAGAACUGUUCCAGAAAACCUCACUAAAUCACAUGGAGGGGCCUCAAGAUAGUCAUCCAAAUGAAACUGUACAAAAACCAAACUAGCACAAUCCAAACACUAAAGUCUCCUGCAGCCUACCAGAGAACCUCUGAGAACAGAGAAUCAGGAC
Molecule: long non-coding RNA, 533 nt
Organism: Amphiprion ocellaris (clown anemonefish)
Lineage: Eukaryota; Metazoa; Chordata; Actinopteri; Pomacentridae
Source: Ensembl